Molecule: ribosomal RNA, 253 nt
Filed under: uncultured bacterium
Lineage: Bacteria
Description: partial 16S ribosomal RNA
Rfam family: Bacterial small subunit ribosomal RNA
Source: RNAcentral
UACAGAGGUUCCAAGCGUUGUUCGGAUUCACUGGGCGUAAAGGGUGCGUAGGUGGUGAGGUAAGUCGGAUGUGAAAUCUCCGGGCUCAACCCGGAAAUGGCAUUGGAAACUACCUUGCUGGAGGAUUUGAGGGGGGAUUGGAAUACUUGGUGUAGCAGUGAAAUGCGUAGAUAUCAAGUGGAACACCAGUGGCGAAGGCGAAUCCCUGGAAAAUACCUGACACUGAGGCACGAAAGCUAGGGGAGCAAACAGG